This 506-nucleotide ribosomal RNA is filed under the name uncultured bacterium. RNAcentral describes it as "partial 16S ribosomal RNA". It matches the Rfam family "Bacterial small subunit ribosomal RNA", at positions 29 to 523 of the family's 1533-position model. The record is from RNAcentral.
AGUGAACGCUGGCGGUAGGCCUAACACAUGCAAGUCGAACGGCAGCACAGAGGAGCUUGCUCCUUGGGUGGCGAGUGGCGGACGGGUGAGGAAUACAUCGGAAUCUACUCUGUCGUGGGGGAUAACGUAGGGAAACUUACGCUAAUACCGCAUACGACCUACGGGUGAAAGCAGGGGAUCUUCGGACCUUGCGCGAUUGAAUGAGCCGAUGUCGGAUUAGCUAGUUGGCGGGGUAAAGGCCCACCAAGGCGACGAUCCGUAGCUGGUCUGAGAGGAUGAUCAGCCACACUGGAACGGAGACACGGUCCAGACUCCUACGGGAGGCAGCAGUGGGGAAUAUUGGACAAUGGGCGCAAGCCUGAUCCAGCCAUACCGCGUGGGUGAAGAAGGCCUUCGGGUUGUAAAGCCCUUUUGUUGGGAAAGAAAUCCAUCUGGUUAAUACCCGGGUGGGGUGACGGUACCCAAAGAAUAAGCACCGGCUAACUUCGUGCCAGCCGCCGCGGUAA